RNAcentral lists this unclassified non-coding RNA (376 nucleotides) under uncultured bacterium. Its description in RNAcentral is "contains 16S-23S intergenic spacer region". The record is from RNAcentral.
UCCGAGUUGACCCCGGCAGUCUCCUGCGAGUCCCCGCCAUUACGCGCUGGCAACACAGGACAAGGGUUGCGCUCGUUGCGGGACUUAACCCAACAUCUCACGACACGAGCUGACGACAGCCAUGCACCACCUGUAUGGAGCCCAAAAGGACCUCACAUCUCUGUGAGUUUUCUCCAUAUGUCAAACCCAGGUAAGGUUCUUCGCGUUGCAUCGAAUUAAGCCACAUGCUCCACCGCUUGUGCGGGCCCCCGUCAAUUCCUUUGAGUUUCAACCUUGCGGUCGUACUCCCCAGGCGGGGUACUUCCUGCGUUAGCGCCGGUACUCCAAGGGUCGCUCCCCGGAGCACCUAGUGCCCAUCGUUUACGGCGUGGACUAC